Molecule: ribosomal RNA, 450 nt
Filed under: uncultured Nitrosomonadaceae bacterium
Lineage: Bacteria; Pseudomonadati; Pseudomonadota; Betaproteobacteria; Nitrosomonadales; Nitrosomonadaceae
Description: bacterial SSU rRNA
Rfam family: Bacterial small subunit ribosomal RNA
Source: RNAcentral
GUGGGGAAUUUUGGACAAUGGGGGCAACCCUGAUCCAGCCAUUCCGCGUGAGUGAAGAAGGCCUUCGGGUUGUAAAGCUCUUUUGUCCGGAGCGAAACGGGCGGCCCUAAUACGGUCGUCUACUGACGGUACCGGAAGAAUAAGCACCGGCUAACUACGUGCCAGCAGCCGCGGUAAUACGUAGGGUGCGAGCGUUAAUCGGAAUUACUGGGCGUAAAGCGUGCGCAGGCGGUUUUGUAAGCCAGAUGUGAAAUCCCCGGGCUCAACCUGGGAAUGGCAUUUGGGACUGCAAGGCUGGAGUGUGGCAGAGGGGACUAGAAUUCCUGGUGUAGCAGUGAAAUGCGUAGAUAUCAGGAGGAAUACCGAUGGCGAAGGCAGGUCCCUGGGUUAACACUGACGCUCAUGCACGAAAGCGUGGGGAGCAAACAGGAUUAGAUACCCCGGUAGUCC